AAGUCGUAACAAGGUAACCGUAGGUGAACCUGCGGUUGGAUCAUUAAUAAAUCUAGAAGACCUAAGGUCUUUUUAACAUCUUGUGUAUAGUAUAUCGUUUUUGAUGGGCGCGCAAGUCCUUGAAAAUAAACUUUGUAUAUCAUUCGUCUAUAACUUUUAAUGAAUAAUUAAAAACAACUUUUGACAACGGAUCUCUAGGCUCUCA
RNAcentral lists this unclassified non-coding RNA (205 nucleotides) under fungal sp. RNAcentral describes it as "partial internal transcribed spacer region". The stretch from base 1 to 46 matches the Rfam family "Eukaryotic small subunit ribosomal RNA", at positions 1786 to 1831 of the family's 1831-position model. Lineage: Eukaryota; Fungi. The record is from RNAcentral.